GAAGAGUAAAGUAAAAGUACUUAAAUUAAAAUUUUGAAGAGUUAAAAGUAAAAGUAAACUGUGAUCUUUCAAAAUCAACGAUGUAGGUGCAAGUCCCACACUCUUUG
Molecule: transfer RNA, 107 nt
Filed under: Seriatopora sp. PG-2017
Lineage: Eukaryota; Metazoa; Cnidaria; Anthozoa; Scleractinia; Pocilloporidae
Description: tRNA-Trp
Source: RNAcentral